CAGAGGUUCACUUAUUUCCCCACUUAGCUCCAUAAGUACUCAUGGGUGGAUACCGUCAGACCCUGGAGCUUUAUUUACAUUAAUUUUCUUUAAUAGCUGUAGCACCUUGUCUUGAGUUAUCCAAUCACAAGUUAUCUGCAAGUUUGUUGCAGCAAUCAUUUGAUUAUCUCUUGCCAUAGGAUCCUCAUUAAUAUAUACUGAAG
Molecule: non-coding RNA, 203 nt
Organism: Pelobates cultripes (western spadefoot toad)
Lineage: Eukaryota; Metazoa; Chordata; Amphibia; Anura; Pelobatidae
Source: the annotation of a GenBank genome assembly